RNAcentral lists this ribosomal RNA (215 nucleotides) under uncultured fungus. Its description in RNAcentral is "partial small subunit ribosomal RNA". The stretch from base 91 to 215 matches the Rfam family "Eukaryotic small subunit ribosomal RNA", at positions 738 to 864 of the family's 1831-position model. The record is from RNAcentral. Lineage: Eukaryota; Fungi.
GACCUGGCUGGGCGGUCCGCCUCACGGUGUGUACUGUCUGGCUGGGUCUUACCUCUUGGUGAGCCGGCAUGCUCUUUACUGGGUGUGUCGGGGAACCAGGACUUUUACCUUGAGAAAAUUAGAGUGUUCAAAGCAGGCCUGCGCCUGAAUACAUUAGCAUGGAAUAAUAAAAUAGGACGUGCGGUUCUAUUUUGUUGGUUUCUAGAGUCGCCGUA